This is a long non-coding RNA of Poecilia latipinna (sailfin molly), 458 nucleotides long. RefSeq lists it as uncharacterized. NCBI's taxonomy places the organism in Eukaryota, Metazoa, Chordata, Actinopteri, Cyprinodontiformes, Poeciliidae. The transcript has 2 exons. The record is from RefSeq and is a predicted model, not a curated record.
CCCUUUUCACAUGACGUCAGACAACAUCCGUUUUGACUCGAUCCAGUGUAUCUUUAGUUCCGGUGUGUGGAGUUAACGGUGUUUCUGGACUCUAAAGCAGCUGCCACAAAUACGAUUUAAAGAUAUAUCACUAUUUGCAGACAAUUUUUCUUCAUCAACAUAAUCUAAACUGGACAAAUUCCUCUCUGAAUGAUACCAGUUUGACUACGAAGGUUACACUUGAUUCUGCUGUGGUGCCUGUGGAAACAAAGUGCAUGAAGUUUGUGCUGAGGUGGGAAAACCCUGUGGAUCACAUGGUGGGACUUCUGCUUCAAACUGCUCACUACAGUUUACCACUGCCUCUGUCAUCCACCAGUUCACUGCAGACUGGCACCCGCCAAGGACCCUACAUGGAUGUCUUAAGUUGUAAACCCUGAGUACAUACUGUUGAAAUAAAAUUGAUAUGCCUUUUGUAAAUA